Molecule: long non-coding RNA, 5228 nt
Filed under: Phocoena sinus (vaquita)
Lineage: Eukaryota; Metazoa; Chordata; Mammalia; Artiodactyla; Phocoenidae
Description: lncRNA (ENSPSNG00000003973.1)
Source: RNAcentral
UCCUUGCCCCCAUCCUGUGACAGAGGCCUGGGCAGGAUCCGCAUCCUUCCCGUUUUACGUACAGGGAGUCUCAGGCUGCCAGUGAUCACAGAGUUAGCAGGUGGCAGAUCUGGGACUUAAACUUGGGUUAUUUAGUGACUCUGCCUCUCCUGCGUUUUCUGAUCUAUCACAGUGCGGCCAAGAAGCUGCCGUCACUAGAGGGUCUCGGCAGAGGCUGUCAGGAAUACUGUGGAAGGCAUCUGGGCCGGCUUAGCUGACGAUUGCUGUGUGGUUUGAGGGACAGAGAACUCCCCAGAGUAUCCUGCUCACCAGUCAGUCGCCUCAGUUGGCCCUCAUCACUUCAUUACUUUAAAGAGGAGCAUGUGAACACACACAUGCCCUGGCUUGCUUUUUCUCCCUGAUAGAAAGCUGUGGAGGUUCGCUCAGCAAACCUUUACUAACUCCUCCCUGUCAAGCUCUCUACCGGGCCCUGGGAAUACAGACAUUAACUUCACACAGACCUCCCUCAAGGGCCUCAUAGAUGUGGGGUGGGCAGGGUGCUGUAAUGCAGCGCAGUUGACAGCAGAGAGAGCAGCUGACCAUCCUGCGGAUGGGUCAGGCCCCCGGGGACGGAGCAGCCCAGGGAACAAUGGGGGCCACGUGGAAGGGUGCAGCCCAUGUGGGGAGCAAGAAAUAAUCUGGGUUAGUUGGCCUGGGGACCAGAGGACAGAGGGCCUGGCUUAUUUUGGGAACUGGGAGUGUCUAGCUGAAUUUUGGGGGCUGUGAAAAGUUUUAAUGGAAGAAAGUUGGAGAAAUAAGACUUUGUGUGUUGCGCUGAGACAUUUUUACUCAAUCCCGUGACCACCGAGGAGCUAAGGGUUGAAAUAGGCGGACAUCAAAGUCAGACUGAGAACAAUUGUUCUGGUAGAUUGUUAGAGAAGGGACGGAACAAGGAAGGCCAGUUACUAAUGCAGGAGACUACGAGGGAAAUGCUGAAGGCGAGAGCCGAGGCAGUGGGUCUGGGAGUGGGGCAGGGUCAGAUUCGAAGAAACCUUCCUGAGGCAGAAUCCGAGUCAGUGACCGGUGUGAGGGAGAGGAGAAAAGUCAAGAGUGACUCGCCGGUUUUUAUUUGAGAUCUGCUUGCCUUAUUUUAUAAAGAUUUGCAAUCCAGAUGCUACGGUUCUCCUUAAUGGCAACUUUCAGAGCACAGCCUCGGCUCACUUGCCACAUCUCGCCAGCUUGGGCUUUACAAGCGGGGAAAUAUUCCUCUUUUUUUGGCUGACGUCUCGUUUCCUUUUUCUUAACUUCUGUUCUGAAAUUAUUACAGAAGUUUUUGUACUUCAAGGAAUUGGAGCCUGGUACAUAUUAGGUACUCAAUAAAUGAAUAAUCAGGUAAAUGAGGUCACGCAUCCUGGUUGACCUACAGGGUGAUGUUCGUGGUAAAGUGCUGGGCAUAAAAUGUGAAUUCUGUCAUUCCAGAGCAGCUUGUGCAUUUGUGCUAAAAUAAUGUUUGAUAGUGGAAGGGUAAAAUACAGAAUUCUGAAGAAUUUCCGGUAGCACGCAGCCAGGUAUCAGUCUCUGCGUUCGCUGCCCACGGUGGUCAUCGUACCUGACCCUGAGCACAGCAGUGGCCGCGGCAGGGUGAGGUGACCCAGCAGCGCGCGGGGGAACAGAUCGCGCUCUGGUGCCUUUACACUCUUGCCCCCCACCCCAUCCGCCGUACGGUUCUUGCUGGGGGGGGCGUGUGUUGUGUGAUUUCCCCGGGAUCCCAGGCGUGCCUGGGGUUCCACUUCUUGCCUGGGACUGACCCAGCUCCCAGCGUGGAGCCUCAGCGUUCGCUGCGUUAAUCAGACUUGCUGGAAUGAUCACGUGGUCCUCUAGCUGCCUGCCUGUCAGCUGCUGCUCGUCAGCAGCUGGCUGGCUGGAGGCUGCAGGCCCGUCUGCAGAAAGCCUUCUACUUCAGAAUAUGGGGGGUCGGGGGGUGCAGACCCGCCUCUUUCUUCUGCACUUUGCACCAUCUGACUGACUAAACGGUUGUCCUCCGAACCAGAAAGGCUACCAGGCAGUAUAAGGAAAUUGUCUCUGACUAGGUCAUGUUUGCAUUUGAAGAAUUCAGGUAUGUUCUGGGUUUUCUACAUCAGUCUGCCGCUGGGUUUUUGUUCUCGCUAGGUUUUUGCUGUGUAAUGACAGCCUAGGCUCUGGCUCGUUCUCACAAAAGAAGGGUUCUUUUCUGUGGCGGGGUUUCUCCCGGUCACGGGGGCGGGAGGCGCGGAGGUGGUACCGGUCCAGGCUGUUUACUGCAGGACAGAUGCAGCGUGGGUAAUUGGUUUGCUCGUGUGUGAAUGUGCCGAGGACCCCACCUUGUGCCUCACCUGAGCUGUGCUGUUGCUGGUGUAGAGGUAUGAAUGCAGAGUAGGAACUGCUCAUCCAGAAGGAGUCUCUUGCUGCCUUUUGUUUUUCUUCCUUUGUCAAACUCAUGGAGCCUGACUGCUCUUUUAAAAAAACGCUAACUGUAGCGGUGAAGGUGAAAAUCCUGCAAGUCUGUCUGCUUAGUCAAGAUCUGAUCUGGGCUCUGAUUUUGCUCGUCGUGAAUAGUGAUCUCUGGCUGGGCGGUUUUCUGGGAAGUACCCUCAUGAUGUUUUGUUAACAGGGUCCUUCUUUGCUUUCGUCAGCUUUUCAGCUGCUGUAAUUAUUAAUGCUCCAGAUUAGAGUCUUUUGUGAAUCUCAUGCCUUCUCUUUCCUCCAUCUCUCCUCCCUGGGUAUGAACGUAGGGGCGGGGGGGUACUCCAGAAGAGAUAGUCUCUAAGAAAUGAAAAUAAAGGAGCUGGGAUGGGAGGGUUACCGGCUCAUUCUUGUGCAGGGCUCCACCUCUUCGGAGCAUACGGAAGACAGUGUGUCUGUUUCUAACCUCUGACAGCUUCUCAUUUCUCAGAUGGAAUUUUUGUGUAUUUUAGAACUGAACGAAAAUACCAUAUUGAUGGGCGAAGAAGUGAUUGUGUGGGAACCUCCACAGGCCUUUUUCGUUCCCUCCAAAUGUUGCUGCAAUAGACAUGGAAAUGAUAAUAGAAUUACCACCUUUCAUUACUUGUAAGAGGAAACUAGAGACCUUUUGAUCAAAAUCAAGGGAGAGGAUGAGAGCAUUAUCAGCUUUCCACAAGGAAAAGCAGGGCUACGGAGGUUGUUCCCGCCCUUUCUAUAAACUUGGGGCUUUGGAUCCAGGAAGUUAUCCUUUGUUUAAGAGCGUGCCUCUGCAUUAUUUCUAAUGGACUGGGUUUGUGAAAAGAACAUUCUUUCCACGUGGCAACGUGCUCGGAUGACAUGGGGUGACACCGUGACCAGAACUUACAGUUUUAGGAUAGCUCCAUCAGAUAACUAACAAGAAUUUAUUUAAUGCCUGGCAUUAAAUAACAGUAGAUGUAACAGUAGAUAGGUCCUUAGGGAAUGAAUCGUGAGUCUUGGGUUCUAAUCCGAGUUUCAAAAUUGGCUUUCCUGAUCCUUGUGAGAGUUACGGAAGAGCUUUGUACAUCGUAGAAAGCAGUUCAAUGGUGAGGCUCAGAUUUUAUUGCUAGCGUUUGUUUGAGAUGGAGUACGUCUUGGCUUCUGCCUCGAACAAGCUUGGAGCCUUUCGUUGCAUUUUGUAGUCUGUGGGGAGGGGUGCAUAUCAACAAAGCCACUCCCACCGUGGUGGCACCUAGUCCCGGAGCCGAGAGCUGGGUCUGAUGAGGUGGAAGGGGGUUGAGUUAAAGGCCACUUGCUCUGCUGAGCUGAGAAAGUGGGGAAGUCUGUUACCCUUCAAGUUCCUGCCUAAGCUGGCCCUGAAGAAUUUCGCUGAGUAUGAUUGCAUUUUAUGACGGCUGCACGGGGGCCAGACCAGGUGGCUUUCUUCUUUAGUCAUGGGGCCUGUGCCCAUGGGGGCCAGGUGAUUGUGGUGGGGCAACGCUGCGCUCGAGAGGAGCUUAGCUUAGCUUUUUAGUUUAGGUCAGGUGGGUCCCGAAGCUAUAGCACGCAGCAGAAUCACCCGGAGGGCUCAUGAAAACCCACCCCCAGAGUUUCAGAUCUAGCAGGUCUGCAAUGGGGCUUCAGGAUCUGUGUGUCCGAUAAGUUCCCAGGUUUUCUGAUGCUGCAGUUCUGGGGACCAGACUUUGAGAACCAUUGGCUUGGGGAAAGCAGACGUUGUUGUUGUCGUUGAGGUGGGAAGUCUGAGGCAGAGGCGAGGAGGGAGGUACAGGGAGGAGCCAGAAGCUGCAGUUCAGGUACGGGCAGGUGGGCCAAGGCGGGGGUGCAGGCGUGAGGGGGGCACGCUCACGGGGCGGCGCUGGAAGGGAACACUGGGACGAGAACCAGGGGACUUGCUUUAUAAUCCUUGUUCUGCCGUGUGCUCCUUUGCGGGCUUGGCCAGCCUCUUCAUCGUUCUGAAGUCUCAAUUUUCUCAACUGAAAAUGGGGAUAGUUGUUCUUGCCAAGAAAGUCUAUAAUACUGUUAGAAUUAAAUGAGAUAACAUAAACUUACUUAAUAAAUUAUAGCACUCUUUCCACAUGAGUAUAAAGGGAGGAGAGGACCCUGGGGGUCUCCAUCAGGUUAUCUGGACACAGCCCUCCGUACACACGCCCAACUCCAAGAGCGCAAGGGCCACGUUCAUUUUAAAAGGAAGUCUGAUUGACAGACACGUUUACCUGCCGUUACUCCCUAUUGGACUCUGAGUUCCAAUGUGGUCUGUCAAUCCUGUCUUUUUAACUUUGUCUCCUUAGUGCCUAAAACUGCUUGACACACAGUAAAGCCUUAGUAAGUGGCGGACGCAGUUCAUUUUCACGAGGACUUAAUAAGGAAGAAAAAGCAAGCAAGCUCUCUGGCUAGCUCGGCGCAGGCCUGGGAUGGUACCGUGGUGCCCGCCGCGUGUGCUGGUUCAGAAGAGCAUGUCGAAAAGCUGACAUCUGACCUCCUGAGAAAAAUGUGAAGUGUCCUCAGCACACCCCCACGGCAGGAGUGCCAGAGAACUGCGAGCACAUUUCACGAGGAAUCUCCGCGAUGCCCUCACUCUAGAAUGGGCUGCUGAUUGUCGUGACGUGCCGGGGCCCAGGGCCCAAGCCUGGAGCGCUGCAGGGUCCCGAGAGCUUGAGAGACCGGGCCGGCAUUUUCCAGCUGGUUAGGGGGUUUCUACCUUCCACUGACUGCAAGACUGUGUUGUCCUAACACGAGGCCAGCUGUUCUAGCUGGCUGUGCUGGGAGACACACUGCAUUUGUGUUUUUGC